Molecule: ribosomal RNA, 429 nt
Filed under: Bacteroidota bacterium
Lineage: Bacteria; Pseudomonadati; Bacteroidota
Description: Bacteroidetes bacterium partial 16S ribosomal RNA
Rfam family: Bacterial small subunit ribosomal RNA
Source: RNAcentral
UAGGGAAUCUUCGGCAAUGGGGGGAACCCUGACCGAGCAACGCCGCGUGAGUGAAGAAGGUUUUCGGAUCGUAAAGCUCUGUUGUUAAGGAAGAACGAGUGUGAGAAUGGAAAGUUCAUACUGUGACGGUACUUAACCAGAAAGGGACGGCUAACUACGUGCCAGCAGCCGCGGUAAUACGUAGGUCCCGAGCGUUGUCCGGAUUUAUUGGGCGUAAAGCGAGCGCAGGCGGUUAGAUAAGUCUGAAGUUAAAGGCAGUGGCUCAACCAUUGUAGGCUUUGGAAACUGUUUAACUUGAGUGCAGAAGGGGAGAGUGGAAUUCCAUGUGUAGCGGUGAAAUGCGUAGAUAUAUGGAGGAACAACGGUGGCGAAAGCGGCUCUCUGGUCUGUAACUGACGCUGAGGCUCGAAAGCGUGGGGAGCGAACAGG